Molecule: long non-coding RNA, 2323 nt
Organism: Lineus longissimus
Lineage: Eukaryota; Metazoa; Nemertea; Pilidiophora; Heteronemertea; Lineidae
Exons: 3
Source: RefSeq, a predicted model, not a curated record
UGAUUUUAAUCCAGGACCGAAGCUACGUUGAGAGAAGUGAGUGUUCCGCGCAAUACAUCAUCAACUAGCGGAUAUUCCUUCAUUUGUGCACCACAGAAGAGCUACAAAAUGAACGCUUCUCUUGAUAUACCUCCGAACAAUUCCAGCUACCACGCCGACUUCAACAUCACAGUAACUACCAUGUCAAGGCGCGGCGUGGCGCCGGAUUUUUCCCAGACAACACAGCUUCUAGAUGUAAGGAUUGCUGUCCAGGCGGCAAUCCAAAAGUACAAUCUGACAGAGGUCACUGACCACUCGCCAGAGGACGCGGAUAAUGCCACAACGUCAUCGCUUACACACGGAAUGUACUUUUUCCGUGCGUAUAUCAGUCCGAUAAUAAUCUUAUUAGGAAUAAUAGGCAACUUACUAAGCAUUGGAAUAUUCCUCAGUUACAGAAAAUGGGACCAGGCUUCAAUUCAUUACUUAUUCUACCUCGCGUUAUCCGACACUGGGAACCUUCUUUUCAAUGGAGUCGUGGAAUGGUUUCACGUCGGCCUCAAAUACGCCACGAGAGAGAGCUUCUGGAUUGACAUCCCUGCGAUGAAUCUCGGAACAUGUGUGUUCGUUCGCUACGUGUGGUUACAUUGCGCCUUUUUGAGUUCGUGGAUUCUCGUCUUUUUCACCAUUGAACGAUUCAUCGUAGUUUGUUUUCCAUUACGCGCCUUCAAAUGGGUAACUGUGGGCAAACGGCGGCGAAUUCUCGUGAUAUUGACGAUAGUCAGCGUGAUUUCCUGGUUCCCUAUCCCUUUUAUAUACGAUGUUUACAAAAAACACGGAUUCAGUGUCUGUCUUCCAAACUCUGAAAAAUCAACUUGGAUGUCGUAUUAUUUUUCCUUUCACUCAAUGGCGACGACUUACUUUCUGCCAUGCGUGUUGCUGGGACUUUUUAACACUUUUAUCAUCAUCGGAAUUGCCAGGACGAGCAAAGGAAGGCAGGAAAUCCGAGGAGUGAAGAAAAGCAGAAAACAGGACGUGAUGAUUGCUGUAAAUCUCCUAGCCGUCUCCUCAGUCUAUUUGAUUCUGACGAUUCCAUUUUGCUUGGCGUGGGGACUAUGGUUCUAUUGGGAGUCAACGGGAUUUGUGGGGAAGACACUGCAGAAUAUCAAGGAAGGGUUGGAAGUAAAUCGAUUCAUUACAAGUAUCAGUAUUAUCAAUUACUCCGUCAAUUUCUGUAUAUACACCGCGCGGCUGACGUUUUUCAAAAGGCGGGUGUUGAAUUUGUUUAGGUGCAAGAAAUACACGAAGCUUGACUCCACGAACAACAGUCAAAAUGGAUCCGAGUCUCCAGGAAAGAGGACGAGAAUGGUAAAUUUGACCUAGCUGUUAGUGAAGAAGAGGCGUAGCUGAUGUACAAACAUGAUUUGAAAUACACCAUCCACUUCGCCAUUCUCCAACUGCAAGCAGAUCGAAAUGACAUCAUCAAUAAAUCUGCAGUGCAGUUGAUCUCGGGUUGUGCAGGAGUCUGCGACUUCCUCAAAAUAGGGCCUCUCGUGAUUGGCUAGUCAUUCGCUGGUGACAUAAGGAUUACUAAAAUUACAUAUUACAAAUGCCUACAAAUGACUUAUUUCAGAAAGUGCCGUAGGAGAAAGUGAGUAGGAUUCAUACACGUCACGUCUUUGAUUUUACUCAGCUCCGAUCCGCUAUUGACAGACGUUGAAACGAGAUUUCUCGAUUUUUGAAUACUGUUGCACAUGCGGACACCACAUUGCGCUACACGACUAUACGCGUGUGCAAUCGGGUAAAAAAUCUGGAAACUUGUUCCAACCUCUUAGGUUGAGAUUCUUGUAUUUAAAAAAAUGACGAAAACUAGAUUUGAGAGCAUUACACGUAUUUCUUAAAGCCAAAUGAUAGACGCAACAGACAUGAUUGCAAUACCUCGGAGAGGUCAGCUCUUGAUCUGGUCUCACAGACGUGACCUGAUGACGCACGGAGACAUAACACUAUGUGUGCUUGUAGCUUUAGAAACAAAAUAUAUUUUUCGAGCAAAAAAAGAUCUGUAUUAGACAUGAACGACUCUGCUUGCUUAUUGGGAAUGUGGCAUAGAACGAGUCAACCACACAAUAACAAAGAACAAAUUACAAGUACUCUGUCACGAACUGAUGACGUAAACACAUAAACUGAUGGACGUGAACAUAUAAAUGAUGACGUAGGUCUACACUCUUAAAACAAAUGAGUGAAAAUAACUAUGUGAUAGUAACUUUUUAACUAUUCUGGUAUUCCUAUUCCACCGACUAUGAAAUUAGUUGUUUUACGACCAUCGAAAAAUUAGUUGUUGACCAUUUUA